This 330-nucleotide unclassified non-coding RNA is filed under the name plant metagenome. Its description in RNAcentral is "partial contains 5.8S ribosomal RNA, internal transcribed spacer 2, and large subunit ribosomal RNA". The stretch from base 1 to 106 matches the Rfam family "5.8S ribosomal RNA", at positions 49 to 154 of the family's 154-position model. The record is from RNAcentral.
CGAAAUGCGAUAAGUAAUGCGAAUUGCAGAAGUCAGUGAAUCAUCGAAUCUUUGAACGCACAUUGCGCCCGCCAGUACUCUGGCGGGCAUGCCUGUCCGAGCGUCAUUUCAACCCCUCGGGCCCCUAACCCUCCCUGGGAGGGCGCCCGGUGUUGGGGCUUUCAGGCGUUAGCUUGAUCCCCUAAAUGCAGUGGCGGCCACGCCGCGGCCUCCCCCGCGCAGUUAGCACCUCGCGGAUCGGGAAGGCGGCGCGGCCACGCCCCUAGAACCACCACGAAACGUACCAAAGGUUGACCUCGGAUCAGGUAGGGAUACCCGCUGAACUUAAGC